ACUCCUACGGGAGGCAGCAGUGGGGAAUAUUGCACAAUGGGCGCAAGCCUGAUGCAGCCAUGCCGCGUGUAUGAAGAAGGCCUUCGGGUUGUAAAGUACUUUCAGCGGGGAGGAAGGCGAUAAGGUUAAUAACCUUGUCGAUUGACGUUACCCGCAGAAGAAGCACCGGCUAACUCCGUGCCAGCAGCCGCGGUAAUACGGAGGGUGCAAGCGUUAAUCGGAAUUACUGGGCGUAAAGCGCACGCAGGCGGUCUGUCAAGUCGGAUGUGAAAUCCCCGGGCUCAGCCUGGGAACUGCAUUCGAAACUGGCAGGCUGGAGUCUUGUAGAGGGGGUAGAAUUCCAGGUGUAGCGGUGAAAUGCGUAGAGAUCUGGAGGAAUACCGGUGGCGAAGGCGGCCCCCUGGACAAAGACUGACGCUCAGGUGCGAAAGCGCGGGGAGCAAACAGGAUUAGAUACCCUGGUAGUC
RNAcentral lists this ribosomal RNA (467 nucleotides) under uncultured bacterium. RNAcentral describes it as "bacterial SSU rRNA". It matches the Rfam family "Bacterial small subunit ribosomal RNA", at positions 335 to 795 of the family's 1533-position model. The record is from RNAcentral.